CUGUAGUCCCAGCUGCUUGGGAGGCUGAGGCAGGAGAAUCGCUUGAACCCAGGAGGCAUAGGUUGCAGUGAGCCAAGGUCGCGCCACUGCACUCCAGCCUGGACGACGGAGUGAGACUAUGUCUCAAAAAAAAAAAAAAAAAAAGAAAAAGAAAAAAAUAUAUAUAUAUACACACACACACCCAUACAUAAAAAAACUUAAACAUUAUAGAAAAAACAUUGCACGAUAUAAAACAAGCCAUAAAAAGAAAUUCAUCCUUCAAUAAAGAAAAAUAUCUAAACGUUGAAAAACUUAAGUAUUAUGGAAAACAUUGCAAAAUAAAGCUUUUAGGAAUCCAAUUCUGUUUUUUAUUUUAGUACUGAUGAGACUUUGGGUAAGGAGGCAACAUCGUAUCCUGGAAACAAAAUGGGUUUGGGAGCCAGAUGAACAUAGACCCGGCUUCAUCACUUCUCAGAUGUGUUAUCUAAGGCCAGCACUUCCUAAACAUUUUGAUCUCAGGACUCUUCACUUUUAAAGGACGCUGAGGAGCCUUUGUUUAUGUGGGUUAUGUCUGAUGAUAUUGACUAUUCGAAAUUAAAUAGGAGAAAAUGUAAGUAAUUAUUUACUAACUUUUUUAGAAGUAACAAUAAUAAACCCAUUACGUGUUAACAAAAAUAACCCAUUGUUAUGUAAAAAGCUAUUUAAAAAAAAGGUACUGAGAAGAGUAACAUUGUUUUACACUUUUGCAAAUCUCUUUAUUCCCUGGCUUAAUAGAACACAGCUGGAUUCUCAUAUCAGUUUCUUCAUCUACUCUGUUGCAAUAUAUUGUUUUGGUUGAUGUAUAUGAAAAAAAUUCAGUCUCACACAGAUAUACAGUUGGAAUACAAGGAAGUAUUUUAAUAGCUUUUUCAGGUAAUUUUGGGAUAUAUUUUGAUUCUACAAAGGCAGAUGGCAGUUUCUUAAAAGUUAAUUGUGGUGUGGAUCUGAAAGCAUUAUCAGUGAACAUUUUUCAAAUGCUAUUACAUUAAAGUGCACUGGUUGAUUUUGUACUUUGAAUGAUUUUUUUUACUAAUGCAUGAUUUUGUGAUAUCAGGCAUUGCUCAUCUUGAAAAUAUUUAUUCGCUGAGUUAAGCAAAUAUUCCAAGUGUUGAUGCAUUUUAUUGUAUACUACCAUGAAAUCAUUUUGUUAGUGUCUUCACCAAUCUCAUCAGGAAAGUAUUGCAGUAUUGGGAAGCUGUCAAGCUCACAGUGAAAAAUAUGUUUUACAAAAUUCCAUCUCCCCCCCAAAAGCUCAUCUUAUCAUUGAUGACAAAUGUUGUCAGUUGCUUUCUUUGAAGUGAUAGAUUCACUUUCCUCAUUUUUAGGAAAGUGUUUACUAUAUAACUGUAUAUGAUGAACUAUAGUUUGUCAGUCAUUAUUUCAAAUAAAAAUGAUGUUCCAAGAAAAAAGUGUCAAGUUCAGCCUGAAACUCAGACACUCAAGGAAAUGCUUUUCUUUGCAGAAGUGCUUUAAGUGUAUUUCCCAUUUUGUCCCACAGAAUAAUAAAAUGACAUCUACAUAGAUGUCCAUAAUUAAUACAAUUAAUAACAUACUGUUUCAUUUAGAACAUUUUAAAGUCCAACUGGCUUUUUAAAAGCCCUGAAAGUUCAUGACGGUGAAAAAUACAAGAGUUUUGAAUGUAGUUUGGUGCCACUGCUUUGGUUCAUGCCAAGGUGCAAGUUGUUUUACCCAUCUUUGCUUUUACACCUUUAGUACAAGUGUGAACAUGGUAGAAAAGGAAAAUAACAUCUUAGUAUUAUUAUAAAAACAGUUUAACCCAGCAGACCCCACAGAAGAGUUUCAGGGACCAUAUUUGAGAACAGCUGUCUUAGACAAAUCAUUUAAACCCCCUGAGCUUCAGGUAAUUUAUCUGUAAAAUGGUGACAAUGGUAGUACCUACCCUGAUACUGCUAGGGUUGUCAGGAAGUUUAGGAUAAUGCUUACAAAAUAUGGACACAUUGUACUUAAUAGUACUUGAUAAAUGGUCACUAUUGUUUAUGGGCAGAAUGGAAAUAACAUGGUUCAGUGGCUUGUCUGUUGGGAAACUUGGGUUCUGAUCCCAGCUCUGACCAAUACUAAUAUGACAAUUCCUUAACACCUCUGAGAUUUUAUUUCCUCAUAUACAAAAGGAAAGAGAGGAACUGGAUGAUUAAAACAUCUUUUGCUCCUUUGAAAUUCUAGGAUUUUAAAUUCUUUUCUUUUUGUUAUAAUACCUUUUGCCUAAGUAGGAGAAAAAGGGAUUUAGCCAUGUGGUUAUGUCUCAGUGGUUCAUUUU
RNAcentral lists this long non-coding RNA (2293 nucleotides) under Homo sapiens (human). RNAcentral describes it as "HSALNT0345839". The record is from RNAcentral. Lineage: Eukaryota; Metazoa; Chordata; Mammalia; Primates; Hominidae.